AGCGAUGUAGCUCAGGGGAAGAGCGCCGGGCUCAUAACCCGGAGGUCAGUGGAUCGAAACCACUCAUCGCUA
Molecule: non-coding RNA, 72 nt
Organism: Microthyrium microscopicum
Lineage: Eukaryota; Fungi; Ascomycota; Dothideomycetes; Microthyriales; Microthyriaceae
Source: the annotation of a GenBank genome assembly